AAGCGGUGGAGCAUGUGGUUUAAUCGAAGCAACGCGUAAGAACCUUACCAGGUCUUGACAUCCCGAUGCUAUUCUAGAGAUAGAAAGUUACUUCGGUACAUCGGUGACAGGUGGUGCAUGGUUGUCGUCAGCUCGUGUCGUGAGAUGUUGGGUUAAGUCCCGCAACGAGCGCAACCCCUAUUGUUAGUUGCCAUCAUUCAGUUGGGCACUCUAGCGAGACUGCCGGUAAUAAACCGGAGGAAGUGGGAUGACGUCAAAUCAUCAUGCCCCUUAUGACCUGGGCUACACACGUGCCACAAUGGUUGGUACAACGAGUUGCGAGUCGGUGACGGCGAGCUAAUCUCUUAAAAGCCAAUCUCAGUUCGGAUUGUAGGCUGCAACUCGCCUACAUGAAGUCGGAAUCGCUAGUAAUCGCGGAUCAGCACGCCGCGGUGAAUACGUUCCCGGGCCUU
RNAcentral lists this ribosomal RNA (452 nucleotides) under uncultured Streptococcus sp. RNAcentral's name for it is "bacterial SSU rRNA". It matches the Rfam family "Bacterial small subunit ribosomal RNA", at positions 927 to 1382 of the family's 1533-position model. The record is from RNAcentral. Lineage: Bacteria; Bacillati; Bacillota; Bacilli; Lactobacillales; Streptococcaceae.